GAUUCGUCACACUAUCAUUAACUGAAUCCAUAGGUUAAUGAGGCGAACCGGGGGAACUGAAACAUCUAAGUACCCCGAGGAAAAGAAAUCAACCGAGAUUCCCCCAGUAGCGGCGAGCGAACGGGGAGGAGCCCAGAGCCUGAAUCAGCAUGUGUGUUAGUGGAAGCGUCUGGAAAGGCGCGCGAUACAGGGUGACAGCCCCGUACACAAAAGCGCAUGUGCUGUGAGCUCGAUGAGUAGGGCGGGACACGUGGUAUCCUGUCUGAAUAUGGGGGGACCAUCCUCCAAGGCUAAAUACUCCUGACUGACCGAUAGUGAACCAGUACCGUGAGGGAAAGGCGAAAAGAACCCCGGCGAGGGGAGUGAAAAAGAACCUGAAACCGUGUACGUACAAGCAGUGGGAGCCCCACCACUAAGCCAGUGGUGAACUCCACAUCCGCAUCCUUUGCUGAGGAUACGGUUAACGGAGCGAAAGCGACGUUCAACCGCAAAACAAGCAGAGGGGGCUUAGUGGUGGGGUGACUGCGUACCUUUUGUAUAAUGGGUCAGCGACUUAUAUUCUGUAGCAAGGUUAACCGUAUAGGGGAGCCGGAGGGAAACCGAGUCUUAAUUGGGCGUUAAGUUGCAGGGUAUAGACCCGAAACCCGGUGAUCUAGCCAUGGGCAGGUUGAAGGUUGGGUAACACUAACUGGAGGACCGAACCGACUAAUGUUGAAAAAUUAGCGGAUGACCUGUGGCUGGGGGUGAAAGGCCAAUCAAACCGGGAGAUAGCUGGUUCUCCCCGAAAGCUAUUUAGGUAGCGCCUCGUGAAUUCAUCUCCGGGGGUAGAGCACUGUUUCGGCUAGGGGGCCAUCCCGGCUUACCAACCCGAUGCAAACUGCGAAUACCGGAGAAUGUUAUCACGGGAGACACACGGCGGGUGCUAACGUCCGUCGUGAAGAGGGAAACAACCCAGACCGCCAGCUAAGGUCCCAAAGUCAUGGUUAAGUGGGAAACGAUGUGGGAAGGCCCAGACAGCCAGGAUGUUGGCUUAGAAGCAGCCAUCAUUUAAAGAAAGCGUAAUAGCUCACUGGUCGAGUCGGCCUGCGCGGAAGAUGUAACGGGGCUAAACCAUGCACCGAAGCUGCGGCAGCGAACGUAUCACCCAAGACAACUUUACGGAGUUGACGAUUGACGGAGCGAAGCGACGUCAAAGCGUUCAUUAAAGUCGAGUUGGCUUAGGGAUACGUUCGUUGGGUAGGGGAGCGUUCUGUAAGCCUGUGAAGGUGUGUCGUGAGGCAUGCUGGAGGUAUCAGAAGUGCGAAUGCUGACAUAAGUAACGAUAAAGCGGGUGAAAAGCCCGCUCGCCGGAAGACCAAGGGUUCCUGUCCAACGUUAAUCGGGGCAGGGUGAGUCGACCCCUAAGGCGAGGCCGAAAGGCGUAGUCGAUGGGAAACGGGUUAAUAUUCCCGUACUUGGUGUUACUGCGAAGGGGGGACGGAGAAGGCUAUGUUGGCCGGGCGACGGUUGUCCCGGUUUAAGCGUGUAGGUGUGUGUUCCAGGUAAAUCCGGUUCACUUUAACACUGAGGCGUGACGAC
This 1578-nucleotide ribosomal RNA is filed under the name Salmonella enterica subsp. enterica serovar Typhimurium. Its description in RNAcentral is "partial 23S ribosomal RNA". It matches the Rfam family "Bacterial large subunit ribosomal RNA", at positions 137 to 1570 of the family's 2925-position model. The record is from RNAcentral. Lineage: Bacteria; Pseudomonadati; Pseudomonadota; Gammaproteobacteria; Enterobacterales; Enterobacteriaceae.